RNAcentral lists this ribosomal RNA (828 nucleotides) under Starmerella bacillaris. RNAcentral's name for it is "SSU rRNA". It matches the Rfam family "Eukaryotic small subunit ribosomal RNA", at positions 968 to 1823 of the family's 1831-position model. Lineage: Eukaryota; Fungi; Ascomycota; Dipodascomycetes; Dipodascales; Trichomonascaceae. The record is from RNAcentral.
CUUCAUUAAUCAAGAACGAAAGUUAGGGGAUCGAAGACGCUUAGAUACCGUCGUAGUCUUAACCGUAAACUAUGCCGACUCUGAAUUGGCCUCUUGACAUUUAUGGGAGGUCAGCGCAGUGUGAGAAAUCAAAGUUUUUAGGUUCUGGGGGGAGUAUGGUCGCAAGGCUGAAACUUAAAGGAAUUGACGGAAGGGCACCACCAGGAGUGGAGCCUGCGGCUUAAUUUGACUCAACACGGGGAAACUCACCAGGUCCAGACUUCUGUAGGAUUGACGCAUUGGCGAUGCUUCAUGAUUAGAAGGGUGGUGGUGCAUGGCCGUUCUUAGUUCGUGACGUAAGUUGUCUGCUUUAUUGCGAUAACGAGCGAGACCUCGGCCGCUAGUUGCCAGAACUCACACUUUGUGAGUCUUUGGCUCUUAGCGGGACUACCGGAGACAAUUCGGGGGAGGUUCGAGGCAAUAACAGGUCUGUGAUGCCCUUAGACGUUCUGGGCCGCACGCGCGCUACACUGACGCAGCCAGCGAGUUAAUCCUUGUCCGAAAGGAACGGGUAACCUUGUUAAACUGCGUCGUGAUGGGGAUAGAGCUUUGCAAUUUUUGCUCUUGAACGAGGAAUUCCUAGUAAGCGUAAGUCAUCAACUUGCGUUGAUUACGUCCCUGCCCUUUGUACACACCGCCCGUCGUUACUACCGAUUGAAUGGCUUAGUGAGGUCCUAGGAGGAUUCUUGCACGAGGGCAACCUCUAGCGAGAAACCAAAUUCGAUCAAACUUGGUCAUUUAGAGGAAGUACAAGUCGUAACAAGGUUUCCGUAGGUGAACCUGCGGAAG